AAAGUCGCUCUCAGAGUGGCUUUACUUUAAUCCCUUACACCUGUGCAUUUUGUCGCUCCGGCGAUAUUUAUAUAUACAAACAACAGUUUUAAAUCAUAAUGUAAAAGUAUCAUAACAAAAUACAACUUUCAACAACGGAUCUCUUGGCUCUCGCAUCGAUGAAGAACGCAGCGAAAUGCGAUAAGUAAUGUGAAUUGCAGAAUUCAGUGAAUCAUCGAAUCUUUGAACGCACAUUGCGCCUUUUGGUAUUCCGAAAGGCAUGCCUGUUUGAGUGUCAUAUAGACUUCUCGCACCUGGUUUUCUGAACCGGGCGGUGAGCUUUGGACGCUGCCAGCCUUCUGGCUCGUCUCAAAUGUCUAAGUGGAACGCGUAAUAAGUUUUCGCCCCCUCCACUCUAAUACUACUUUUAGUUUAGACCUCAAAUCAGGUAGGACUACCCGCUGAACUUAAGCAUAUCAAUAAGCGGAGGA
This 470-nucleotide ribosomal RNA is filed under the name Cryptococcus sp. SA10L01. RNAcentral's name for it is "eukaryotic LSU rRNA". The stretch from base 124 to 277 matches the Rfam family "5.8S ribosomal RNA". The record is from RNAcentral. Lineage: Eukaryota; Fungi; Basidiomycota; Tremellomycetes; Tremellales; Cryptococcaceae.